RNAcentral lists this ribosomal RNA (497 nucleotides) under uncultured bacterium. Its description in RNAcentral is "partial 16S ribosomal RNA". It matches the Rfam family "Bacterial small subunit ribosomal RNA", at positions 28 to 507 of the family's 1533-position model. The record is from RNAcentral.
GAUGAACGCUGGCGGCGUGCCUAAUACAUGCAAGUCGAGCGAACGGACGAGAAGCAUGCUUCUCUGAUGUUAGCGGCGGACGGGUGAGUAACACGUGGAUAACCUACCUAUAAGACUGGGAUAACUUCGGGAAACCGGAGCUAAUACCGGAUGAUAUUUUGAACCGCAUGGUUCAAAAGUGAAAGACGGUCUUGCUGUCACUUAUAGAUGGAUCCGCGCUGCAUUAGCUAGUUGGUAAGGUAACGGCUUACCAAGGCAACGAUGCAUAGCCGACCUGAGAGGGUGAUCGGCCACACUGGAACUGAGACACGGUCCAGACUCCUACGGGAGGCAGCAGUAGGGAAUCUUCCGCAAUGGGCGAAAGCCUGACGGAGCAACGCCGCGUGAGUGAUGAAGGUCUUCGGAUCGUAAAACUCUGUUAUUAGGGAAGAACAUAUGUGUAAGUAACUGUGCACAUCUUGACGGUACCUAAUCAGAAAGCCACGGCUAACUACGUG